UGCCGGGUCGUCUAACGGUAGGACACUACCCUUUGGAGGUAGGUAUGAAGGUCCGAGUCCUUCCCCGGCAG
Molecule: transfer RNA, 71 nt
Filed under: Candidatus Kaiserbacteria bacterium RIFCSPHIGHO2_02_FULL_49_11
Lineage: Bacteria; Candidatus Kaiseribacteriota
Description: tRNA-Gln
Rfam family: tRNA
About the family: Transfer RNA (tRNA) molecules are approximately 80 nucleotides in length. Their secondary structure includes four short double-helical elements and three loops (D, anti-codon, and T loops). Further hydrogen bonds mediate the characteristic L-shaped molecular structure. tRNAs have two regions of fundamental functional importance: the anti-codon, which is responsible for specific mRNA codon recognition, and the 3' end, to which the tRNAs corresponding amino acid is attached (by aminoacyl-tRNA synthetases). tRNAs cope with the degeneracy of the genetic code in two manners: having more than one tRNA (with a specific anti-codon) for a particular amino acid; and 'wobble' base-pairing, i.e. permitting non-standard base-pairing at the 3rd anti-codon position.
Source: RNAcentral